UACGUAGGUGGCAAGCGUUAUCCGGAUUUACUGGGUGUAAAGGGCGUGUAGGCGGGCUUGCAAGUCAGAUGUGAAAUUCCAUGGCUCAACCGUGGAACUGCAUUUGAAACUGUAGGUCUUGAGUGCUGGAGAGGCAAUCGGAAUUCCGUGUGUAGCGGUGAAAUGCGUAGAUAUUAGGAGGAACACCAGUGGCGAAGGCGUCUUACUGGACCGAAACUGACGUUGAGGCUCGAAAGCGUGGGGAGCAAACAGG
Molecule: ribosomal RNA, 253 nt
Filed under: uncultured bacterium
Lineage: Bacteria
Description: partial 16S ribosomal RNA
Rfam family: Bacterial small subunit ribosomal RNA
Source: RNAcentral